GUGUACAAGGCCCGGGAACGUAUUCACCGCGACAUUCUGAUUCGCGAUUACUAGCAAUUCCAACUUCAUGCAGGCGAGUUGCAGCCUGCAAUCUGAACUGAGACCGGGUUUUGUGAUUCGCUCCUCCUCGCGGAUUCGCUGCACUUUGUUACCGGCCAUUGUAGUACGUGUGUAGCCCUGGUCAUAAGGGGCAUGAUGAUUUGACGUCGUCCCCACCUUCCUCCGAUUUGUCACCGGCAGUCUCGCCAGAGUGCCCAACUUAAUGAUGGCAACUGACAAUAGGGGUUGCGCUCGUUGCGGGACUUAACCCAACAUCUCACGACACGAGCUGACGACAACCAUGCACCACCUGUCUCAGCUUUCCCCGAAGGGCACCUAAUGUAUCUCUACUUCGUUAGCUGGAUGUCAAGACCUGGUAAGGUUCUUCGCGUUGCUUCGAAUUAAUCCACAUACUCCACUGCUUGUGCGGGCCCCCGUCAAUUCCUUUGAGUUUCAACCUUGCGGUCGUACUCCCC
This 515-nucleotide ribosomal RNA is filed under the name uncultured bacterium. Its description in RNAcentral is "partial 16S ribosomal RNA". The record is from RNAcentral.